Molecule: long non-coding RNA, 211 nt
Filed under: Citrus sinensis (sweet orange)
Lineage: Eukaryota; Viridiplantae; Streptophyta; Magnoliopsida; Sapindales; Rutaceae
Description: long non-coding RNA (CSIN_LNC004128)
Source: RNAcentral
UUUAUAAGAAGAGCAUACAACACUUUUUAGAUUUUAUUAAAUGAAAUCCCAACUCAAAUGCAAAAAAUUAAACCCAAUUAGUUAAUAAUACAGAAAAAAAAUUUCUUUUUUUUUUCAUGGAAGUGAUUUGCAAACUUUAUCUCUCAUCAAAAAAAAAAUUGAAAAAUAAAAAAUAAAAUGAGGAGGAAAAAGAAGAAGAAGAACGGCCGGG